This 484-nucleotide ribosomal RNA is filed under the name uncultured bacterium. Its description in RNAcentral is "partial 16S ribosomal RNA". It matches the Rfam family "Bacterial small subunit ribosomal RNA", at positions 30 to 507 of the family's 1533-position model. The record is from RNAcentral.
AUUGAACGCUGGCGGCAGGCCUAACACAUGCAAGUCGAGCGGAUGAAGGGAGCUUGCUCCUGGAUUCAGCGGCGGACGGGUGAGUAAUGCCUAGGAAUCUGCCUGGUAGUGGGGGAUAACGUCCGGAAACGGGCGCUAAUACCGCAUACGUCCUGAGGGAGAAAGUGGGGGAUCUUCGGACCUCACGCUAUCAGAUGAGCCUAGGUCGGAUUAGCUAGUUGGUGGGGUAAAGGCCUACCAAGGCGACGAUCCGUAACUGGUCUGAGAGGAUGGUCAGUCACACUGGAACUGAGACACGGUCCAGACUCCUACGGGAGGCAGCAGUGGGGAAUAUUGGACAAUGGGCGAAAGCCUGAUCCAGCCAUGCCGCGUGUGUGAAGAAGGUCUUCGGAUUGUAAAGCACUUUAAGUUGGGAGGAAGGGCAGUAAGUUAAUACCUUGCUGUUUUGACGUUACCAACAGAAUAAGCAUCGGCUAACUUCGUG